AUUGGCAACCUUAAUCAAUUAUACAUUUAUAAAGUCACACAGUACAGUUUAAUUAUUUAUUUAGCUUUAAUACCGUGAUAGGAAAUAGGGUGAGGGGUCCCUACUUGUUUCGGGGUCUAAAUACGGCUCUACAAUGCGCCUACAGGCUGUCCCUAAUUUCCCUAAAUUUUUUCUGGAAAACUGAAACGCACUACCGGUACCUGCACGUGUCCCAAAAAAUCCCAAAUCAGACCUAGGGCCCCUUUCGGCCAAUAUCGCAAUUCCGGCACGGCGGCUCCGCCGUGCUCCGGCGACGGCACCGCCGCAAGCGGCGGCGAUUCGCCUCGGGUUGGCUGUUUUCGACCGUUUUCGGCCGAAUUCGACCACACUUGCAUCGGUCCCUGCGAUAAAACAACCCUAGGGCCCUCGGUGGGCCAAAAAAUCACGAAAAAACUGAAACUUACCGGCUGCGGUGCUCUCGGGUGCGGCGGCUCCUCCGGCGUGAGUUGUGUUUUGAUGUUUGGCUCUGAUCAACCUGUAGAGAAAAGAACAGUGAUCACAGUGGUAUAAAAUUUGUAUCGAACGGAGGCCGGGAAGGGCCUCAUCGGAGGCAAAAACCAAGGAGGGACGCGGCGGCGCCGCUGGGCUUCGGCUGGGUUUU
This 640-nucleotide long non-coding RNA is filed under the name Carica papaya (papaya). RNAcentral's name for it is "long non-coding RNA (CPAP_LNC013678)". Lineage: Eukaryota; Viridiplantae; Streptophyta; Magnoliopsida; Brassicales; Caricaceae. The record is from RNAcentral.